RNAcentral lists this ribosomal RNA (852 nucleotides) under Dothiorella viticola. Its description in RNAcentral is "eukaryotic LSU rRNA". The stretch from base 393 to 546 matches the Rfam family "5.8S ribosomal RNA". The record is from RNAcentral. Lineage: Eukaryota; Fungi; Ascomycota; Dothideomycetes; Botryosphaeriales; Botryosphaeriaceae.
CAGCGGGUAGUCCCCGCCCAGAUUUCAACUCGAUGAAAAAAAUCGAUUGCUUUUUUUUGGGGUUGGGAAACUUAUCACUUUCCUGUGGAACGAAAUACAAAGAGGGGGGGCACUGCAAGGGACAUGGGGUGAACAAAGGUAAACCUUUGUCAUCCUUUGGAGGCUAUCAUUACGGAGUUAACUUUGGAAAGUAAAAAAAAACGUAACAAGGUUUCCGUAGGUGAACCUGCGGAAGGAUCAUUACCGAGUUGAUUCGAGCUCCGGCUCGACUCUCCCACCCUUUGUUUACCUACCUCUGUUGCUUUGGCGGUGCCGCCUUCGGGCGCCCGCCAGAGGACUUCAAAACUCCAGUCAGUGAACGUCUCAGUCUGAAAAACAAGUUAAUAAACUAAAACUUUCAACAACGGAUCUCUUGGUUCUGGCAUCGAUGAAGAACGCAGCGAAAUGCGAUAAGUAAUGUGAAUUGCAGAAUUCAGUGAAUCAUCGAAUCUUUGAACGCACAUUGCGCCCCUUGGUAUUCCGGGGGGCAUGCCUGUUCGAGCGUCAUUUCAACCCUCAAGCUCUGCUUGGUAUUGGGCUCCGUCCUCCUCGGACGCGCCUCAAAGACCUACGGCGGUGGCGUCUUGCCUCAAGCGUAGUAGAAACACCUUCGCUUUGGAGUGCAUGGCGUCGCCCGCCCGGACGAAACCUUUUUUGUAUUUCUCAAAGGUUGACCUCGGAUCAGGUAGGGAUACCCGCUGAACUUAAGCAUAUCAAUAAGCGGAGGAACUGAAAUGUUGAAAAUGGAAUCAGGUAUGAAUACCCCGCCGAACUUACUCAUAUCAUUAUCGUUCGAAGGAAACGUGGUUCCUA